This is a non-coding RNA of Amylostereum chailletii, 83 nucleotides long. The record is from the annotation of a GenBank genome assembly. Lineage: Eukaryota; Fungi; Basidiomycota; Agaricomycetes; Russulales; Stereaceae.
UUGGAUAUGGUGUAACGGUUCAACAUUGCCGCUUCUCAUCUAGAGUGCCGCGGCAGCUCGGGGUUCGAUUCCCCAUAUCCAAA